Molecule: long non-coding RNA, 774 nt
Organism: Vespula vulgaris
Lineage: Eukaryota; Metazoa; Arthropoda; Insecta; Hymenoptera; Vespidae
Exons: 2
Source: RefSeq, a predicted model, not a curated record
UAAAACUAAACAUAGCUCAUUUUCUGAAUGAUAAGAUAAGAGUUAUUUCGUACGUUUUUAAUAAAAAUAAAAAUAAAGAAAAAAAUAUUUAAAAAAAUGAAAAAUGUACAUAAAAAAUUUUUUUCUAAUCAGCAUUAUCAGCAAAUCAAAAUGUUAAAAUUCAAGGAUUGUUAUUCCAGUGUUGCAUAACAUAAAAUGGAUAAAUCGAUAAAGCAAGUAGCAUGUAUAAAUUUGACAUGAAGCGGUUUCGUUGAAGUCAAAAUCAUAUCUCCCAUGAAUUUAGCAUCAUCCAAUUCGUCCACUGGUUCUAAUCGAAAAUGAUGCAAUAUGUAGGCUAACAUUACUUUAAUUUCGAGGAGAGCGUAUUUUUGACCUAUUAAAAUAAAAAAAAAAGGAGAAAAAGAAAAAAGAUGAAACAAUAAUUUCGAGUUGAUCGUUUGUUGUAUGCAACAUUUACCAAUACAGUUUCGUAAUCCUGCACUAAACGGUAUGUACGAAUAAGGAUUACGAUUCUUUAUGUUUUCUGGUAAAAAUCUAUCAGGAUCAAAAAUCGUUGGAUUUGGCCAAUAGUUUGGAUCCUUGUGUAUACUGUAAAUACUUAAGCGACAAUCCACACCGGCUGGGAUUAAAUGAUUCUCUGAAAAUUAUAAUAUGUGUGUUAAUAAUUUUUAUAUUUGAUAUUUUGAAAAGACUAAGAGAAAGAUUAUUAAAUGUAAUUAUUUUUCUGUAAUUAUAUCACAUACCCAAUUGCAAGUCCUCUAAUAAAUAACGUGA